ACGAUUUUUGGGGAGCUUCAAGAGGGGAUUUUCAUCAUCAAUGUGAAGGUAAGUUAUCCCCACCUAUUUUGAGUUAAGUACAUCAAUUAUGUAUGGAUUUGAGCAUGAAAAUUGUAGAAAAAUUGAGGAUUUAGGCCUAGGGAUUUGAAAAUAAGAUUUGGUGAUUUGAGGGGUCAAAUGAACUCCGAUUUUUGUAAACUUUAUAUGUACGGACUCGUGGCGAGACGAGGAAUCCGGUGAUGUGACUUUCGUAAUUUUUCGAGAAGUGGGCUCGGGGCUCGGUAUAUGCAAAUUUCAUGAUUUUCGAUAUUUUUCGAGUCUUUUCGAUUGGGUUAUAUUCCCUUAGCCUAUUGUAAUAUAUUCCUUGUGGUAUUGGCAAGAUUCGCCACGCGAGGAGGUCGAUUCGAAAGGAAAUGGCAUCGCGGAGUAGACUUUUGGCCGUCUUGAGGUGAGUAAUAGAUGUAAAUGCUGUUCUGAGGGUUUGAAACCCCGGACUUUCACAUCGUAAUGCUAUAUUGAGGCGUGACACGCACUCCAUGGCGAGUGUGGGGUCGGAUACGAUUGGGGAUUGUGACUUGGUCCAUCCCGUGUGAUGUUUAUACUAUACUGGUGAUUGAUACACAUACUUCAUUGAUAUUGUGGGGCUUGAUGCCAUGUUUGGGGCC
RNAcentral lists this long non-coding RNA (665 nucleotides) under Nicotiana tabacum (common tobacco). RNAcentral describes it as "long non-coding RNA (NTAB_LNC012589)". Lineage: Eukaryota; Viridiplantae; Streptophyta; Magnoliopsida; Solanales; Solanaceae. The record is from RNAcentral.